Molecule: transfer RNA, 85 nt
Filed under: Zoogloeaceae bacterium
Lineage: Bacteria; Pseudomonadati; Pseudomonadota; Betaproteobacteria; Rhodocyclales; Zoogloeaceae
Description: tRNA-Leu
Rfam family: tRNA
About the family: Transfer RNA (tRNA) molecules are approximately 80 nucleotides in length.
Source: RNAcentral
GCGCGGGUGGCGAAAUUGGUAGACGCGCUGGAUUUAGGUUCCAGUGCCGAAAGGUAUGCGGGUUCGACUCCCGCCCCGCGCACCA